Long non-coding RNA from Oreochromis aureus, 1008 nucleotides. NCBI's taxonomy places the organism in Eukaryota, Metazoa, Chordata, Actinopteri, Cichliformes, Cichlidae. The record is from Ensembl.
GGCUGUACUUCACAGCAAAAGAUGCAAACUCAGCAGCCUGCAACAAGUGCUUUAAGCUGAUACUGUGAUACUGUCAAAGGAGGUAACACCUCAAAUGUGAUAAAACACCUAGCGACGCAUAGCGUUUUUUUUAAAGCCGAGAAAUGCGCCGUGUUUGAUAGCUUGCAGCGAGACCUCACACCGUGCACAUCUACUGCGGGUGUGGUGCCUGUUAGCAACAUCCCCCAAAAACCCGAAGAGUAGAGUCCUGGCCCCUAGCCCUGUCAGCGUAGCAGAAAUGAUGACGGAUGAUGUUGGCAGCAGUUGCCGUUCUCCUCUGCUUUAUCACACAUUUGAUUUCCAUGUGUGACAACUGCAAGUGUCCAGAGUGAGGACAGACUGAGGGACUGCUGCACAUCAUCUGUGAGGCUUUGCACCCCUGAUGAUCCACCAGGACAAACUCAGCAGUGUGUGAGGAAGAGGAGGAGGAAGAGCCAGCAGCAGCUGACAGAUGGAGAGAAUAGACAGACUGUUCCCAGUUUGUGAAGGACUGCUAGAAAAUUUUAAAAUAACUAAUUGUCUGUCCUGAAUUAGUCUUAUUAGGUAAUGUUCAAAUAAUUUUAUCAUCCCAGUGUUUUCAGUGUGGGAUGAAGAACUCAUGGCCUUCAAGUUAUACACUAUGAAAGGCAGAAACAAGUUUAAUAUUCAGAAACCUAAAGUAUGUAUCAGCAGCAGAAUGGACCUAAAAAUAAAUGUCCAUGUUUGUUUCAGUUCUAUGAAGCUUUGAGUAUUUUAGUAGUUCUGCUGUGUUUGUUGUCUCAUAUUGCUGUAAUUGUUUAUCGGCUUUAUAUAUUUUGAGCUAAGUUGAUCUAUAGUGUUACAUCAUAUUCUAUAAGGAUGUUACGUGUUUGUAUACUUUCUGCCCAGUUUGACCCAUUUAGCAGAAGUCAGCCUGUUUAAGGCUCUCAUAUCUAUUCUGUAUGACUUAAAGCAGUUAUGACACGGUAUGAUUUUCUCACCCAAUAAAGG